RNAcentral lists this ribosomal RNA (322 nucleotides) under uncultured eukaryote. RNAcentral describes it as "partial 18S ribosomal RNA". It matches the Rfam family "Eukaryotic small subunit ribosomal RNA", at positions 1470 to 1796 of the family's 1831-position model. The record is from RNAcentral.
CCCUUAGAUGUUCUGGGCCGCACGCGUGCUACACUGAGUGGAUCAGCGGGUCAGGUUGCGCGAAAGCGUUUCCUAAUCUUUAAAUCCGCUCGUGAUGGGGAUUGACGGUUGCAAUUUUCUGUCAUGAACGAGGAAUACCUUGUAAGCGCGGGUCAUCAUCCCGCGCUGAAUACGUCCCUGCCCUUUGUACACACCGCCCGUCGCUCCUACCGAUUGAGUGAUCCGGUGGGGCUUUGGGAUCUGAGCGGAAAGAGCGUUUCGCUGUUUCUGCUCGGAAAACUCAGUCGAACCUUAUCAUUUAGAGGAAGGAGAAGUCGUAACA